GAGUCAAAAAGUAUCAUUAAGUGGUCCAAACAAGUCUCAAAUCCAGAUGAUGGGGAUUCAGAUCAUGUGAAAUUUUGCAGUCUAUACUUGCCAGCCACACUGCUAAGGGCAACGUGCGGAAGCCUGGUAUCUGACUAAUGCUCACCAAGUGUUACAAGGCUUGAGCAGAGGGAAAUAUGCAACCCUGUGACCCUGACUCAGAAUAGCCAAACUCCAUCUGCUCUGAAACUUUAAAUGGGCUUUAUCCAGGGAAAGCUCAGAAACUGCAAGUACAGAAUUUCACAAAACCAGAGAAGAAUGAACAGGUACUAUACCUUACAGCAUAUUGAGCAUAUUAAUCACUGCCUGAUA
RNAcentral lists this long non-coding RNA (351 nucleotides) under Junco hyemalis (dark-eyed junco). Its description in RNAcentral is "lncRNA (ENSJHYG00000014013.1)". Lineage: Eukaryota; Metazoa; Chordata; Aves; Passeriformes; Passerellidae. The record is from RNAcentral.